AUAAUGCACGAAAAAUUGCAUGUUUAGACAUGCAGAUACACGUUUAUGGGAUAGAGAUGAACAAGUAACUGAGUUCUGCGCAACAUUAAACUAUAUAUUUGUCACAUGAUGGGUCAAUGGAAUCGACAGGCAAGGAAACCGAAGUUAUUUCACUUCAUAUUUGCCUUGAAAGACUUUGAAAAAGGCAGCAAGAAGAAAAAAUGUGAACAGAACCUUGGCAUAAAAAUAGUACUACUACUAAGUUUCUGUGUUACUCUGCUGUAGCUUCUUCAUGACUGUUCCCCUCGCUUCCUGUCUGUGGCAAUGUUCCCAGAUCAGUACGAGCCUCUGUCUCUUCUCGAGGAAUCGCAGAAUCUGUCGACUCCACUUGCUUUUGCUGGCUAUCAUCAGGUUUGCUAUUUGAGGUGGAAGAAUCAGUUAAUUUGGGGUCUGUCUCAUCAUUGUCAUUUGAGGGAUUUAUUUUGUUCCCAGAGCCUGUAUCAGAAUUAGUAUCUGAUUUUUGGUUUACCUCAUUUUGAUCGUUCCCACCUCCUGUUGACUUCUCAGUUGCACCAGCUGUUACAGAGUUGCCAUUUUGGUCAACUGUAACAGAACCCUUUGAACUUGUUACUGAUUCUUCAUUUCCCGAGGAAUUCGAAUCGUUUUUCUCAGACUGCUGCUCAUUUGGAUCGUUCUGUGUGCCAUCUCCAACAGAAACAGCUUCCUUAAUUGAG
This 713-nucleotide unclassified non-coding RNA is filed under the name Hevea brasiliensis (rubber tree). Lineage: Eukaryota; Viridiplantae; Streptophyta; Magnoliopsida; Malpighiales; Euphorbiaceae. The record is from RNAcentral.